This is a transfer RNA of Camelus ferus (Wild Bactrian camel), 71 nucleotides long. It matches the Rfam family "tRNA". Rfam says of the family: Transfer RNA (tRNA) molecules are approximately 80 nucleotides in length. Their secondary structure includes four short double-helical elements and three loops (D, anti-codon, and T loops). NCBI's taxonomy places the organism in Eukaryota, Metazoa, Chordata, Mammalia, Artiodactyla, Camelidae. The record is from Rfam.
GAGGGUAUGGCUCAGUGGUAGAGCAUGUGCCUAGCAUGCAUGAGGUCCUGGGUUCAAUCCCCAGGGCCUCU